ACCUCAGGUGCACCACAUGAAUUGCUCCCGCCAGAGGCACAGUGAAGAGCAACACCAGAAGCAGAGCUCGAACUACUAGCAUGAUCAAGCUCUAAAUCAGAACCUGAGGGCUUUAACAAUUUGGUAUUCAUAUGAGCCUUAUCAGAAGCUAAACCCCCAUCAACAGAAAGGGCAUCAUUUUGAGUUUUGGCAUACACAUCUUUCAGGUCAUAGACACCAUCUCCACAAGAGCUUGAUGCAACUUCAGUAGACAUGCAAAGUGCAUUACUCGUGAACCCAUGCAAAUUGGGUUCCCCACUGAUAUCAGAGGCCACCACAUGACAAAGAUCAUUGCAAUUGGAAUUAUCCAUAGCAAGGGAAAGUUUUGAUUCAUGGUUAUCAGGCCCAUUGCUUUGACAGAGAGAACUGAAAUUUUGUUCAAGAGGCAAUACAGCAGAAUGCCCAUUCAACACAUCUUGUACUCUUUGGUGAGCUUUGGAGGAUAUUGACUUGACAACAUCAUACGAGAUAUUACUAGUCUUGGACUCGUGGAGAACAGCAUUCUCUUUUGAAACUUUUACUCCAUGCUCAGAAGCCAAGUCUGGGAAUUGAGAACUAAUGAUUUCAGCAGUGGCAUGCACAGAAUCCUCUCCAACAGAGCCAGGAUUCUGUUCAACAUUGCUAGCUUCUAUUUUCACUUCACAAGAAACCGUUUCAAUAUCACCACUUGAAGCAUGUGGAGAUUCUCCUAAACAAUUAGCAGAUUCAGAUCCAAUAUGAGAUACCGCAGGCAAUGUACAUUCUACCUCUGAUGCAAUAUGCUGGUUUGAUUGCACAUGCAGUUCUUUUUUUGAUGCAUUGUCAGAGGGCAGAAUAAUGGAAGCAGACGGAUGAUUCUGUUGUCCAGUAAUCUUUGCCACUUGUUCAUUAGCAUCACAUGAAGAAUCGAGAGGGGACACAACAUUUUCAUCUCUCUCAUCCAGAUUAUCAGAAAUCAUACCAAAAUUAUCAUUGCAUUUUAUUUUACUCUUGUCCUGAAUUGUGAGAUCAGAUGGCUCAUUCAAGCACCCAUCAGAAAGUAGACCAGAUUCAGCAGUGGCACAUUCACCAAUUACAUCACCAACAAAAGGUACAUUGGUCUCACUGGAACCUUUCAAAUCAAAUCUAGCUGAAGAUCUCUCGACAAAACUACUUGUCGCAUCUUCCGUGGUAUGAAGUUCCCUGAGCUCGGCGGGCUUCAAUCCUUGUACUGGAUUCAUAUUUUCUUCAGGAAACUGAUGCUUCAGUAAUGGUUUCUGUAACAUAUCAACACCAGGGAACACCAUCAUAUUCAUGUUCCUCAAUAUUUUCUUGCUCGAGUCUUCAAUGGGCUUGAAACCAAACACUGAAGUCCAUGUUUCCCUUAGCUCCGAGACAGCUGGUAUGACCAAUUUCUCAACAUCUAAAGAGCAUAGAGCCAUUUCAAUUGCAGUCAGAAGUCGGCGACACAUUCCUUGACGUCUAUAGGUGUAGCGGGUCCCGAUGAAUGGCAUCUCUGCUAAAUGAUUCCCAUGAAUCCUAAUUGAUGCAGCAGCAAUUAGGUCAUCCCCCCUCUCUAGGAUUGCAGUGAAGAAACCACUAUAGUUCAAUCGGUGAAAAUUGGACCGAAAAUUAUAGACAAUAUUGCGAAUCAGAUUGACGCCACUUCUAUGGUCAACCAUGGGCAAAAAGCACUCAUCCAUUAUAUGCAAUGCAACAGCCAACUUUGAGUUGCAUUCAACUUUAUGAGGCUCAAUGAGAGAAAUAUCAGGGCCAACAUCAAAUCGACGAACAAAAGUCCAUGAAAAUCCUUCAUCCAGUUCAUGUUUUACCCCAAAAAGUAUCUGCAGUCUCUUGUAUAACUCUUGGCAUUUCUUCCCACAAAAGGCCGAACUAUCACAAUCAUCACUUAUAGCAUCCUUCACCAAAGCACAGGAUUGGUGAUAUUUCUCCUCACAGAAACGACAUGUAAGUAAUGCAUGUAAUGAAGAAGCAUUAUCAUUCUCUCUCUGAAAUGUAUUCCCACCAGCCAUGCCACAAAAUUUGCACAAACAAUAUAAGCAACGCCAGAGCCCGGAGGGGAAUUUUAUCUCUAGGCAGCUUUGAUGGAAUGUUGAUGGGCAACCAUCACAACAAAUCAGGUCCCCACCAUCUCCACAAAUCCCACAUGUAUCGUCAUUAGGAUCUUCACCAUCAAUAUCAAUGAAAUGGAACCCUUUACGAGAAGAAUCAUCUUGUUUAAGCCAUGAAUCUAGCUGGCACUGCAGGAGUGAAGAUCCAGUCUCUAAAUAUAUAUUUUUGAAUGGCUGACUGAAUUUGCCACCUGAAUGAGCCUCAAAUUCUGCAAUUGUAAAAAUUUUACUACAGCAGUCACAACGAAUGCCAUCUGUUGUAAUCCUACCCUUCAUCACAGCUCGUGUUUUCCUCUGUUUCAAGCAAUGCACCUUCUCAUCUAGCCGGACAGUGCCCAGAUCAAUCAUCCAGGCAAGCACAGUUCGCUUCCCACUAUACAGCAUAUAGCCAUCACUUUCAGACUCUUUGCCCUCUUGAGAAUUUCGAACCAUCAGAGCACAUCGCUUUCUACCAUGUGUUUCAAGUCGCUUCCGACCUCUGACAGACACUGCUGUUUCCUGGCCCGUUGUACAGGCUAAAUCGUUCUGUCUGCAAUGCAAGGAUCUCAGUUUUGUUCUUCCCUUCAACUUCUUAGAGUUGACACCGGCCACAGCACCCAGUUUUCUUUUGCACAGUUUCCACUUUUUCCUUCUAGUAACUACUUCAGUUUCUUUCUCACCCUUCUCUUGGCUCCAUUUCCUUUUCUUUUUAUUUUUGUCUGAUCGUACCUUCUUCAUUACUUUAGUAAGUAUGCUAAGUUCCUCAUCUGGAAUUGGAGUAAAUUUGAAAUCAGACUUACAGGUAUUUGAAUCACCUUUUCCAUCUUCAUAAUGCUUCUUAAGCACCCGAUAAGCCAAGGUGAUGGACCAGUGAGUCCUUCCUUCAGGAUUAACAUACACUGCAUCCUUGUAUUCUCUACCAAUCCUUGGCCUAUAUUG
This 3047-nucleotide unclassified non-coding RNA is filed under the name Hevea brasiliensis (rubber tree). The record is from RNAcentral. Lineage: Eukaryota; Viridiplantae; Streptophyta; Magnoliopsida; Malpighiales; Euphorbiaceae.